GCGGGGAAUCUUGCGCAAUGGGCGAAAGCCUGACGCAGCCAUGCCGCGUGAAUGAUGAAGGUCUUAGGAUUGUAAAAUUCUUUCACCGGGGACGAUAAUGACGGUACCCGGAGAAGAAGCUCCGGCUAACUUCGUGCCAGCAGCCGCGGUAAUACGAAGGGGGCUAGCGUUGCUCGGAAUUACUGGGCGUAAAGGGCGCGUAGGCGGACAGCUUAGUCAGAGGUGAAAGCCCAGGGCUCAACCUUGGAAUUGCCUUUGAUACUGGCUGUCUUGAGUUUGGGAGAGGUGAGUGGAACUCCGAGUGUAGAGGUGAAAUUCGUAGAUAUUCAGAAGAACACCAGUGGCGAAGGCGACUCACUGGCCCAAUACUGACGCUGAGGCGCGAAAGCGUGGGGAGCAAACAGGAUUAGAAACCCCUGUAGUCC
Molecule: ribosomal RNA, 425 nt
Filed under: uncultured bacterium
Lineage: Bacteria
Description: partial 16S ribosomal RNA
Rfam family: Bacterial small subunit ribosomal RNA
Source: RNAcentral